Molecule: non-coding RNA, 379 nt
Organism: Chlorocebus sabaeus (green monkey)
Lineage: Eukaryota; Metazoa; Chordata; Mammalia; Primates; Cercopithecidae
Source: RefSeq, a predicted model, not a curated record
UGCGGCCUCCUGGUCACCAGUCACCGAGAGAGGGACCCCUGGACCGCCUAGGUGGUGGUGUUUGCCGUAGGCCAUAGGGAUCCAGCCCCCUCCGGCAGUCCCAUGGGGACGCGGCCUUCCCACCCGGGCGGAAAGGCGCUUCCCGCCCGCCCUGCGGUAAUCCCGGAAGCCGUGAUCUGUUAAUCUAAAAUUUCUGUUGCUUUGGCUACUGAUGGAAAACUGUUGACGACCUUACGGAGCAGCAGCCUCCUUUUGGCUCAUCCUGGACGACGUCUCCUCGACACAUCUGACCUUCGGGAAGGAGUUCACAGAAGCAGUGGAAGCCAAACACGUGGCUCAGCAGGAAGCAGAGAGGGCCAGAUUUGUGGUGCAAAAGGCU